This is a transfer RNA of Camelus ferus (Wild Bactrian camel), 72 nucleotides long. It matches the Rfam family "tRNA". Rfam says of the family: Transfer RNA (tRNA) molecules are approximately 80 nucleotides in length. Their secondary structure includes four short double-helical elements and three loops (D, anti-codon, and T loops). Further hydrogen bonds mediate the characteristic L-shaped molecular structure. tRNAs have two regions of fundamental functional importance: the anti-codon, which is responsible for specific mRNA codon recognition, and the 3' end, to which the tRNAs corresponding amino acid is attached (by aminoacyl-tRNA synthetases). tRNAs cope with the degeneracy of the genetic code in two manners: having more than one tRNA (with a specific anti-codon) for a particular amino acid; and 'wobble' base-pairing, i.e. permitting non-standard base-pairing at the 3rd anti-codon position. NCBI's taxonomy places the organism in Eukaryota, Metazoa, Chordata, Mammalia, Artiodactyla, Camelidae. The record is from Rfam.
GGGGGUAUAGUUCAGUGGUGGAGCACAUGCCUGGCAUGCAUGAGGUCCUGGGUUUAAUCCCCAGUGCCUCUA